UUCUGCAUCCUGCAUCCAGGUUAGGGUCUAGACUAGAAAACAGAGUCAGGAGUUCUGCCCUACCCUCUCUGUGUGCCAGCAGACUCUGGGGAACCCCAGACUGUGGCUUCUGACUCACUCUGUGGAGACUACUAUUCUUCCCUGAGAUCAAACUCCGAUCCAGUUUUGGAAACACAGCAGGACAGAUGGCAAGGAUCAAAAGACGCUUGCUGAUGGGUCCCAGUGACAAACUGAGACACGAUUCAGAGUGAACCAACGUUCACUCCAAAGAAUCAACGAAUUGAUUGGGCUUCCUUACAGAGCCUAGGUGAGGGCUUAUUCACAGCAGUGGGGGCACACCUUACCCAACUGGCUACACCUGGAAAGCUGUGCCCAUCAGACACGAGAGCCAUUUCCUGUAACUGCAUGAAUGGAGCCCUGUCUCAGGAUUUCUGUAUAAGAUGGCCCCUCCCCCAGGCUAUUUG
This 464-nucleotide long non-coding RNA is filed under the name Mus musculus (house mouse). RNAcentral describes it as "predicted gene, 50016". The record is from RNAcentral. Lineage: Eukaryota; Metazoa; Chordata; Mammalia; Rodentia; Muridae.